UACGGGGGGAGCAAGCGUUGUUCGGAUUUACUGGGCGUAAAGGGCGCGUAGGCGGUCAGCACAAGUCAGUUGUGAAAUCUCCGGGCUUAACCCGGAAAGGUCAACUGAUACUGUGCGACUAGAGUGCGGAAGGGGCAACUGGAAUUCUCGGUGUAGCGGUGAAAUGCGUAGAUAUCGAGAGGAACACCUGCGGCGAAGGCGGGUUGCUGGGCCGACACUGACGCUGAGGGGCGAAAGCAUGGGGAGCGAACAGG
RNAcentral lists this ribosomal RNA (254 nucleotides) under uncultured bacterium. RNAcentral describes it as "partial 16S ribosomal RNA". It matches the Rfam family "Bacterial small subunit ribosomal RNA", at positions 524 to 776 of the family's 1533-position model. The record is from RNAcentral.